UAAGCGGAGGAAAAGAAACUAACAAGGAUUCCCCUAGUAACUGCGAGUGAAGCGGGAAAAGCUCAAAUUUAAAAUCUGGCGGUCCUUGCGGCCGUCCGAGUUGUAAUCUGGAGAAGUGCUUUCCGCGCUGGACCGUGUACAAGUCUCUUGGAACAGAGCGUCGUAGAGGGUGAGAAUCCCGUCUUUGACACGGACUACCAGUGCUUUGUGAUGCGCUCUCAAAGAGUCGAGUUGUUUGGGAAUGCAGCUCAAAAUGGGUGGUAAAUUCCAUCUAAAGCUAAAUAUUGGCGAGAGACCGAUAGCGAACAAGUACCGUGAGGGAAAGAUGAAAAGAACUUUGGAAAGAGAGUUAAACAGUACGUGAAAUUGCUGAAAGGGAAACGCUUGAAGUCAGUCGCGUUGGCCGGGACUCAGCCUUGCUUCCGCUUGGUUUAUUUUCUGGUCGACGGGUCAGCAUCAGUUUUGAUCGUCGGACAAUGGCUGGGGGAAUGUGGCAUCUUCGGAUGUGUUAUAGCCCUCGGUCGCAUACGAUGGUUGGGACUGAGGAUCUCAGCACACCUUUAUGGUCGGGGUUCGCCCACGUUUGUGCUUAGGAUGCUGGCAUAAUGGCUUUAAACGACCCGUCUUGAAACACGGACCAAGGAGUCUAACAUGCAUGCGAGUGUUUGGGUGGAAAACCCGAGCGCGUAAUGAAAGUGAAAGUUGAGACCUCUGUCGUGGAGGGCAUCGACGCCCGGACCAGACCUUCUGUGACGGCCCUGCGGUAGAGCAUGUAUGUUGGGACCCGAAAGAUGGUGAACUAUGCCUGAAUAGGGUGAAGCCAGAGGAAACUCUGGUGGAGGCUCGUAGCGAUUCUGACGUGCAAAUCGAUCGUCAAAUUUGGGUAUAGGGGCGAAAGACUAAUCGAACCAUCUAGUAGCU
Molecule: ribosomal RNA, 921 nt
Filed under: [Ptychogaster] rubescens
Lineage: Eukaryota; Fungi; Basidiomycota; Agaricomycetes; Polyporales; Postiaceae
Description: LSU rRNA
Rfam family: Eukaryotic large subunit ribosomal RNA
Source: RNAcentral